AGUGAACGCUGGCGGUAGGCCUAACACAUGCAAGUCGAACGGCAGCACAGUAAGAGCUUGCUCUUACGGGUGGCGAGUGGCGGACGGGUGAGGAAUACAUCGGAAUCUACUUUUUCGUGGGGGAUAACGUAGGGAAACUUACGCUAAUACCGCAUACGACCUACGGGUGAAAGCAGGGGAUCUUCGGACCUUGCGCGAUUGAAUGAGCCGAUGUCGGAUUAGCUAGUUGGCGGGGUAAAGGCCCACCAAGGCGACGAUCCGUAGCUGGUCUGAGAGGAUGAUCAGACACACUGGAACUGAGACACGGUCCAGACUCCGACGGGAGGCAGCAGUGGGGAAUAUUAGGCAAUGGGCGAAAGCCUGAUCCAGCCAUACCGCGUGAGUGAAGAAGGCGUUCUGGUUGUAAAGCCCUUUUGUUGGGAAAGAAAAGCAGCAGGUUAAUACCCCGCUGUUCUGACGGUACCCAAAGAAUAAGCACCGGCUAACUUCGUG
RNAcentral lists this ribosomal RNA (492 nucleotides) under uncultured bacterium. RNAcentral describes it as "partial 16S ribosomal RNA". It matches the Rfam family "Bacterial small subunit ribosomal RNA", at positions 29 to 507 of the family's 1533-position model. The record is from RNAcentral.